RNA transcript from Gordionus sp. m RMFG-2023, 887 nucleotides. It is a transcript of the gene named RING finger and CHY zinc finger domain-containing protein 1-like, with no coding region annotated. The transcript is spliced from 9 exons. Lineage: Eukaryota; Metazoa; Nematomorpha; Gordioida; Chordodea; Parachordodidae. The record is from RefSeq and is a predicted model, not a curated record.
AUAAAUAAACUUUCGUUUCGUUCAUUAAGUCCAUAUGUUAAAUUCGAAAUUUGACUGCAAUCAUUACCAAAGGAAAUGCCUAAUUAUUACAUUGUGCUGUAAAAAAAUAUAUCCAUGCAGAUUGUGUCAUGAUAAAGAGGAAGAUCAUCAAUUAAUUAGCAAAAAUGUGGAAGAAAUUAAAUGUGUCAUUUGUGGCUUUAUUCAAUUAGUCCAAAACAAUUGUCAAAAAUGUGGAACUAAGUUUGGGAAAUAUUACUGUAAAAAAUGUAGAUUAUUUGAUGAUACAGAUAAAAAACAGUUUCAUUGCGAAGGUUGUGACAUUUGUAGGAUUGGGGGAAGAGAAAAUUAUUACCACGACUAUGUAUGCGGUAUGUGUUAUCAAAAAGGGACAGUCCAUAAAUGCAUUGAAAAUAUUGGGAGAUCGCCCUGUCCAGUUUGUCUAGAGGAUCUUCACACUUCAACAAUACCUUGUAUAGUCAACAAAUGCGGUCAUAUAUUACACCAAACGUGCUUAAGAAUUUUAAAGACAAAUAGUGAUAAUAAUUGUCCCUUAUGCAGAACACCCAUGAUUACGGAUGAAGAUUUGGAAAAAUUAACAUCCGCUCAGCUAGUACUGGAAACACGCGUUGAAAUUCUGUGCUACAAUUGCGGACACAUUUUCGGGAUUGGAUACAGUUAAAAAGAUCAAUAUAUGGAAGGAUUCAGCAAAAGAAUUAUGGGCCCCACGAGGUGCAAGAGAUAGCUUGAAUGUUUGGUAGAGUUAAGAAUCCACUGACCCACAAUUACUUUUCAUACGUUAGCUAAUGAAAAUGGUUACACGUGCUUGGAUUGCCACUCAACUCAUACGGGAUUGAUAACAUAAAUAAUUUUUUAUUAAAAAACUUCAG